Molecule: unclassified non-coding RNA, 200 nt
Filed under: Proliferodiscus sp.
Lineage: Eukaryota; Fungi; Ascomycota; Leotiomycetes; Helotiales; Lachnaceae
Description: partial internal transcribed spacer 2
Source: RNAcentral
UUAAGUUCAGCGGGUAUCCCUACUUGAUUCGAGGUCAACCUGAAAAAGUUUUGAGGUUGCUGGCUAGCAUCUCCCAGGACCCUAUAGCGAGAAAAGUUACUACGCGUAGAGCCUGAAAGCACCGCCACUGGUUUUAAGACCCGCCCGGAGGCGCGGUCCAACACCCAGCUAGGCUGGAGGGGUCAUAAUGACGCUCGAAC